This 240-nucleotide ribosomal RNA is filed under the name uncultured bacterium. Its description in RNAcentral is "partial 16S ribosomal RNA". It matches the Rfam family "Bacterial small subunit ribosomal RNA", at positions 94 to 334 of the family's 1533-position model. The record is from RNAcentral.
AGCGGCGGACGGGUGAGUAACGCGUGGGUAACCUGCCUCAUACAGGGGGAUAACAGUUGGAAACGGCUGCUAAUACCGCAUAAGCGCACAGUACCGCAUGGUACGGUGUGAAAAACUCCGGUGGUAUGAGAUGGACCCGCGUCUGAUUAGCUAGUUGGUGGGGUAACGGCCUACCAAGGCGACGAUCAGUAGCCGACCUGAGAGGGUGACCGGCCACAUCGGGACUGAGACACGGCCCAA